AGAGUUUGAUCCUGGCUCAGAGUGAACGCUGGCGGCAGGCCUAAUACAUGCAAGUCGAACGGCAGCACAGCAGAGCUUGCUCUGUGGGUGGCGAGUGGCGGACGGGUGAGGAAUACGUGGGAAUCUGCCCAGUCGUGGGGAUAACGUAGGGAAACUUACGCUAAUACCGCAUGCGCCCGUUCGGGGGAAAGCCGGGGACCUUCGGGCCUGGCGCGAUUGGAUGAGCCCACGUCGGAUUAGCUAGUUGGCGGGGUAAAGGCCCACCAAGGCGACGAUCCGUAGCUGGUCUGAGAGGAUGAUCAGCCACACUGGAACUGAGACACGGUCCAGACUCCUACGGGAGGCAGCAGUAGGGAAUAUUGGACAAUGGGCGCAAGCCUGAUCCAGCCAUGCCGCGUGAGUGAAGAAGGCCCUCGGGUUGUAAAGCUCUUUUGUCCGGAAAGAAAAGCGCCGGGUUAAUACCCUGGUGUCCUGACGGUACCGGAAGAAUAAGCACCGGCUAACUUCGUG
This 510-nucleotide ribosomal RNA is filed under the name uncultured bacterium. Its description in RNAcentral is "bacterial SSU rRNA". It matches the Rfam family "Bacterial small subunit ribosomal RNA", at positions 8 to 507 of the family's 1533-position model. The record is from RNAcentral.